This 396-nucleotide ribosomal RNA is filed under the name uncultured bacterium. RNAcentral describes it as "partial 16S ribosomal RNA". It matches the Rfam family "Bacterial small subunit ribosomal RNA", at positions 523 to 918 of the family's 1533-position model. The record is from RNAcentral.
AUACAGAGGGUGCAAGCGUUAAUCGGAUUUACUGGGCGUAAAGCGCGCGUAGGUGGCUAAUUAAGUCAAAUGUGAAAUCCCCGAGCUUAACUUGGGAAUUGCAUUCGAUACUGGUUAGCUAGAGUAUGGGAGAGGAUGGUAGAAUUCCAGGUGUAGCGGUGAAAUGCGUAGAGAUCUGGAGGAAUACCGAUGGCGAAGGCAGCCAUCUGGCCUAAUACUGACACUGAGGUGCGAAAGCAUGGGGAGCAAACAGGAUUAGAUACCCUGGUAGUCCAUGCCGUAAACGAUGUCUACUAGCCGUUGGGGCCCUUGAGGCUUUAGUGGCGCAGCUAACGCGAUAAGUAGACCGCCUGGGGAGUACGGUCGCACGACUAAAACUCAAAUGAAUUGACGGGG